RNAcentral lists this unclassified non-coding RNA (205 nucleotides) under Hevea brasiliensis (rubber tree). Lineage: Eukaryota; Viridiplantae; Streptophyta; Magnoliopsida; Malpighiales; Euphorbiaceae. The record is from RNAcentral.
AGAAUACAGAGAGCGUAUUGCCACAAGUCUGCAAAAUCAUUCACAUACCUGAAAAGCCAUCCUUUCUUCCUCACCUCCAACCCACGGUUAACAUGUUUGCUUCUGUCAUUGAACCCAAAGAUGCCAAUACUCUAGUCAGGAAGUUAAAUAAGAUUGCACCACUGGAAAAUUUGCAACAUGUGAAGCGUGUGCAGAGGAAAAGCAU